UGUCGAGNGGGACGAUAUUGACGGUACCNCUGGAGGAAGCCCCGGCUAACUACGUGCCANCAGCCGCGGUAAUACGUAGGGGGCAAGCGUUGUCCGGAAUUAUUGGGCGUAAAGGGCGUGUAGGNUGUUCUGUAAGUUGGAUGUUAAAGGUAUGGGCUCAACUCAUACAUCGCAUUCAAAACUGCANUUCUNGAGANUGGUAGAGGAAAACGGAACUUCCGGUGUAGCGGUGAAAUGCGUAGAUAUCGGAAGGAACACCANUGGCGAAGGCGGUUUUCUGGGCCNUUUCUGACNCUGAGGCGCGAAAGCUAAGGGAGCAAACAGGAUUAGAUACCCUGGUAGUCNUAGCUGUAAACUAUGGUCACUAGGUGUUUGUGGUAUCGACCCCAUGAGUGCCGAANUUAACAUGAUUAGUGACCCGCCUGGGGAGUACGGUCGCUAGACUA
RNAcentral lists this ribosomal RNA (446 nucleotides) under uncultured bacterium. Its description in RNAcentral is "partial 16S ribosomal RNA". It matches the Rfam family "Bacterial small subunit ribosomal RNA", at positions 434 to 896 of the family's 1533-position model. The record is from RNAcentral.